UCAUGCUGUCAUGGAACCGGCUGGGCAUGCCUGCAGCGCCAGAUCAAGUGCUCGCGCAUAACUGGGGCCACCACGCCUCUGUGGUGGGGGGUGGGCAGCCCUUUUAAACGUGAGCGACAGCU
Molecule: small nucleolar RNA, 122 nt
Filed under: Echinops telfairi (small Madagascar hedgehog)
Lineage: Eukaryota; Metazoa; Chordata; Mammalia; Afrosoricida; Tenrecidae
Source: RNAcentral